CCUACGGGUGGCAGCAGUCGAGAAUUUUUCUCAAUGGGGGAAACCCUGAAGGAGCGACGCCGCGUGGAGGACGAAGGUCUUCGGAUUGUAAACUCCUGUCAUUCGGGAACAAUUGACCGGGUAGUAACUGACCUGGUUUUGAUAGUACCGGAAGAGGAAGAGACGGCUAACUCUGUGCCAGCAGCCGCGGUAAUACAGAGGUCUCAAGCGUUGUUCGGAUUCAUUGGGCGUAAAGGGUGCGUAGGUGGCGGUGUAAGUCGGAUGUGAAAUCUCGGGGCUCAACCCCGAAACUGCAUUCGAUACUGCAUUGCUCGAGGACUGGAGAGGAGAUCGGAAUUCACGGUGUAGCAGUGAAAUGCGUAGAUAUCGUGAGGAAGACCAGUGGCGAAGGCGGAUCUCUGGACAGUUCCUGACACUGAGGCACGAAGGCCAGGGGAGCAAACGGGAUUAGAUACCCCAGUAGUC
RNAcentral lists this ribosomal RNA (465 nucleotides) under uncultured bacterium. RNAcentral's name for it is "bacterial SSU rRNA". It matches the Rfam family "Bacterial small subunit ribosomal RNA", at positions 338 to 795 of the family's 1533-position model. The record is from RNAcentral.